RNAcentral lists this ribosomal RNA (516 nucleotides) under uncultured bacterium. RNAcentral's name for it is "bacterial SSU rRNA". It matches the Rfam family "Bacterial small subunit ribosomal RNA", at positions 993 to 1509 of the family's 1533-position model. The record is from RNAcentral.
GAACUUAGCAGAGAUGCUUUGGUGCCUUCGGGAACUCUGAGACAGGUGCUGCAUGGCUGUCGUCAGCUCGUGUUGUGAAAUGUUGGGUUAAGUCCCGCAACGAGCGCAACCCUUAUCCUUUGUUGCCAGCGGUCCGGCCGGGAACUCAAAGGAGACUGCCAGUGAUAAACUGGAGGAAGGUGGGGAUGACGUCAAGUCAUCAUGGCCCUUACGAGUAGGGCUACACACGUGCUACAAUGGCGCAUACAAAGAGAAGCGACCUCGCGAGAGCAAGCGGACCUCAUAAAGUGCGUCGUAGUCCGGAUUGGAGUCUGCAACUCGACUCCAUGAAGUCGGAAUCGCUAGUAAUCGUAGAUCAGAAUGCUACGGUGAAUACGUUCCCGGGCCUUGUACACACCGCCCGUCACACCAUGGGAGUGGGUUGCAAAAGAAGUAGGUAGCUUAACCUUCGGGAGGGCGCUUACCACUUUGUGAUUCAUGACUGGGGUGAAGUCGUAACAAGGUAAGCGUAGCGAG